Molecule: ribosomal RNA, 1946 nt
Filed under: Salmonella enterica
Lineage: Bacteria; Pseudomonadati; Pseudomonadota; Gammaproteobacteria; Enterobacterales; Enterobacteriaceae
Description: partial 23S ribosomal RNA
Rfam family: Bacterial large subunit ribosomal RNA
Source: RNAcentral
AGACCCGAAACCCGGUGAUCUAGCCAUGGGCAGGUUGAAGGUUGGGUAACACUAACUGGAGGACCGAACCGACUAAUGUUGAAAAAUUAGCGGAUGACCUGUGGCUGGGGGUGAAAGGCCAAUCAAACCGGGAGAUAGCUGGUUCUCCCCGAAAGCUAUUUAGGUAGCGCCUCGUGAACUCAUCUCCGGGGGUAGAGCACUGUUUCGGCUAGGGGGCCAUCCCGGCUUACCAACCCGAUGCAAACUGCGAAUACCGGAGAAUGUUAUCACGGGAGACACACGGCGGGUGCUAACGUCCGUCGUGAAGAGGGAAACAACCCAGACCGCCAGCUAAGGUCCCAAAGUCAUGGUUAAGUGGGAAACGAUGUGGGAAGGCCCAGACAGCCAGGAUGUUGGCUUAGAAGCAGCCAUCAUUUAAAGAAAGCGUAAUAGCUCACUGGUCGAGUCGGCCUGCGCGGAAGAUGUAACGGGGCUAAACCAUGCACCGAAGCUGCGGCAGCGACACUUUAGUGUUGUUGGGUAGGGGAGCGUUCUGUAAGCCGUUGAAGGUGUCCUGUGAGGGGUGCUGGAGGUAUCAGAAGUGCGAAUGCUGACAUAAGUAACGAUAAAGCGGGUGAAAAGCCCGCUCGCCGGAAGACCAAGGGUUCCUGUCCAACGUUAAUCGGGGCAGGGUGAGUCGACCCCUAAGGCGAGGCCGAAAGGCGUAGUCGAUGGGAAACGGGUUAAUAUUCCCGUACUUGGUGUUACUGCGAAGGGGGGACGGAGAAGGCUAUGUUGGCCGGGCGACGGUAGUCCCGGUUUAAGCGUGUAGGUGUGUGUUCCAGGCAAAUCCGGUUCACUUUAACACUGAGGCGUGAUGACGAGGCACCACGGUGCUGAAGCAACAAAUGCCCUGCUUCCAGGAAAAGCCUCUAAGCAUCAGGUAACAUCAAAUCGUACCCCAAACCGACACAGGUGGUCAGGUAGAGAAUACCAAGGCGCUUGAGAGAACUCGGGUGAAGGAACUAGGCAAAAUGGUGCCGUAACUUCGGGAGAAGGCACGCUGACACGUAGGUGAAGUGAUUUACUCAUGGAGCUGAAGUCAGUCGAAGAUACCAGCUGGCUGCAACUGUUUAUUAAAAACACAGCACUGUGCAAACACGAAAGUGGACGUAUACGGUGUGACGCCUGCCCGGUGCCGGAAGGUUAAUUGAUGGGGUCAGCGCAAGCGAAGCUCCUGAUCGAAGCCCCGGUAAACGGCGGCCGUAACUAUAACGGUCCUAAGGUAGCGAAAUUCCUUGUCGGGUAAGUUCCGACCUGCACGAAUGGCGUAAUGAUGGCCAGGCUGUCUCCACCCGAGACUCAGUGAAAUUGAACUCGCUGUGAAGAUGCAGUGUACCCGCGGCAAGACGGAAAGACCCCGUGAACCUUUACUAUAGCUUGACACUGAACAUUGAGCCUUGAUGUGUAGGAUAGGUGGGAGGCUUUGAAGCGUGGACGCCAGUCUGCGUGGAGCCGACCUUGAAAUACCACCCUUUAAUGUUUGAUGUUCUAACGUGGACCCGUAAUCCGGGUUGCGGACAGUGUCUGGUGGGUAGUUUGACUGGGGCGGUCUCCUCCUAAAGAGUAACGGAGGAGCACGAAGGUUGGCUAAUCCUGGUCGGACAUCAGGAGGUUAGUGCAAUGGCAUAAGCCAGCUUGACUGCGAGCGUGACGGCGCGAGCAGGUGCGAAAGCAGGUCAUAGUGAUCCGGUGGUUCUGAAUGGAAGGGCCAUCGCUCAACGGAUAAAAGGUACUCCGGGGAUAACAGGCUGAUACCGCCCAAGAGUUCAUAUCGACGGCGGUGUUUGGCACCUCGAUGUCGGCUCAUCACAUCCUGGGGCUGAAGUAGGUCCCAAGGGUAUGGCUGUUCGCCAUUUAAAGUGGUACGCGAGCUGGGUUUAGAACGUCGUGAGACAGUUCGGUCC